Molecule: long non-coding RNA, 992 nt
Organism: Topomyia yanbarensis
Lineage: Eukaryota; Metazoa; Arthropoda; Insecta; Diptera; Culicidae
Exons: 3
Source: RefSeq, a predicted model, not a curated record
CCGGUAAGCUGAUGGACUGGAAUAUAAAAUUCAGGCGUUCGACCUUGAGAAAUUGCCGUUUGUGUACUAAACGAAGCGGGCGUUAUGAUCGCUGUUCUUGGCCACGUACGAGCGGGAGGUAAUGGAGUUCGCCGAGUACAUCUUACCCGAUCCGAUCGUGAUUCAGCUAGCGCGGGAGCAAGAAUCACUAGAUAACAUCAAACAGCACUACAAUAAGUACCGCAACCAGGACGAGAAAUAUCAAGCAAUUUCGAUCAUCUUUGGCGUGAUUACCAUCGGAUAUGCGAUCAUUUUCUGUCGUGUGAGUAUAGGACAGUUGUGAUUGGCAUUGUUAAUCGAUGGAAACAGACACGCAAAACGGCCGAUAGGAUGGUCAUUCGGUAGCGGUACUGUCCGGUGAUUUAACGGUGGAGCAAUGGUUUGCCGGUCUGAAUCGAUUCCGAGCCGGACUAAAGAAGGUAUUGAUUACAACGAACGUUUUGUCUUGGGGUAUCGAUGUCGAACAGGUGACCAUUGUAAACUUCAUCCUGUCGAUGGAUCAGUAGAGACGAGCCGAUUGCGAAACGUAUCUGCAUCGAAUUGGACGCACCGGUAAAUUCUGCAUCGCCAUCAACCUGGUGGGCAGUGAUCGAAGCAUGAUGAUUUGCAGAUCAUUCGAAAAACACUUCCAGAAAAAGAUUCAGCUGCUAGACGCGGAGAACUCGGACGUUAUUGAAAAGAUUGGAUCGUAGUGUUUUCGACCAGCUACUGGUGAAAGGCGCUGGAGCUUUUUUGGUUCAUUAUUGUUCCGAUUGUGAAUCUAUAACUUUAUUUAGCUCUAUCAGUUGAUUUCCUUAGGAUUUAAUUCAAGGAUCGGUAACGCGAGGAUUGUGAAGUGCAUGUUUAAUUGUUAUAACUUGGAGUUAAGUGAACCACAGAUAACAGACGUUUAAGCUCGAUUUGAAUCGUGUAUAAAAACCCGCUACUGAAAUUCCGAAUAAAUUAGACGUCUG